This 1675-nucleotide ribosomal RNA is filed under the name Escherichia coli KTE61. Its description in RNAcentral is "bacterial LSU rRNA". It matches the Rfam family "Bacterial large subunit ribosomal RNA", at positions 1270 to 2925 of the family's 2925-position model. Lineage: Bacteria; Pseudomonadati; Pseudomonadota; Gammaproteobacteria; Enterobacterales; Enterobacteriaceae. The record is from RNAcentral.
AUGCUGGAGGUAUCAGAAGUGCGAAUGCUGACAUAAGUAACGAUAAAGCGGGUGAAAAGCCCGCUCGCCGGAAGACCAAGGGUUCCUGUCCAACGUUAAUCGGGGCAGGGUGAGUCGACCCCUAAGGCGAGGCCGAAAGGCGUAGUCGAUGGGAAACAGGUUAAUAUUCCUGUACUUGGUGUUACUGCGAAGGGGGGACGGAGAAGGCUAUGUUGGCCGGGCGACGGUUGUCCCGGUUUAAGCGUGUAGGCUGGUUUUCCAGGCAAAUCCGGAAAAUCAAGGCUGAGGCGUGAUGACGAGGCACUACGGUGCUGAAGCAACAAAUGCCCUGCUUCCAGGAAAAGCCUCUAAGCAUCAGGUAACAUCAAAUCGUACCCCAAACCGACACAGGUGGUCAGGUAGAGAAUACCAAGGCGCUUGAGAGAACUCGGGUGAAGGAACUAGGCAAAAUGGUGCCGUAACUUCGGGAGAAGGCACGCUGAUAUGUAGGUGAGGUCCCUCGCGGAUGGAGCUGAAAUCAGUCGAAGAUACCAGCUGGCUGCAACUGUUUAUUAAAAACACAGCACUGUGCAAACACGAAAGUGGACGUAUACGGUGUGACGCCUGCCCGGUGCCGGAAGGUUAAUUGAUGGGGUUAGCGCAAGCGAAGCUCUUGAUCGAAGCCCCGGUAAACGGCGGCCGUAACUAUAACGGUCCUAAGGUAGCGAAAUUCCUUGUCGGGUAAGUUCCGACCUGCACGAAUGGCGUAAUGAUGGCCAGGCUGUCUCCACCCGAGACUCAGUGAAAUUGAACUCGCUGUGAAGAUGCAGUGUACCCGCGGCAAGACGGAAAGACCCCGUGAACCUUUACUAUAGCUUGACACUGAACAUUGAGCCUUGAUGUGUAGGAUAGGUGGGAGGCUUAGAAGUGUGGACGCCAGUCUGCAUGGAGCCGACCUUGAAAUACCACCCUUUAAUGUUUGAUGUUCUAACGUUGACCCGUAAUCCGGGUUGCGGACAGUGUCUGGUGGGUAGUUUGACUGGGGCGGUCUCCUCCUAAAGAGUAACGGAGGAGCACGAAGGUUGGCUAAUCCUGGUCGGACAUCAGGAGGUUAGUGCAAUGGCAUAAGCCAGCUUGACUGCGAGCGUGACGGCGCGAGCAGGUGCGAAAGCAGGUCAUAGUGAUCCGGUGGUUCUGAAUGGAAGGGCCAUCGCUCAACGGAUAAAAGGUACUCCGGGGAUAACAGGCUGAUACCGCCCAAGAGUUCAUAUCGACGGCGGUGUUUGGCACCUCGAUGUCGGCUCAUCACAUCCUGGGGCUGAAGUAGGUCCCAAGGGUAUGGCUGUUCGCCAUUUAAAGUGGUACGCGAGCUGGGUUUAGAACGUCGUGAGACAGUUCGGUCCCUAUCUGCCGUGGGCGCUGGAGAACUGAGGGGGGCUGCUCCUAGUACGAGAGGACCGGAGUGGACGCAUCACUGGUGUUCGGGUUGUCAUGCCAAUGGCACUGCCCGGUAGCUAAAUGCGGAAGAGAUAAGUGCUGAAAGCAUCUAAGCACGAAACUUGCCCCGAGAUGAGUUCUCCCUGACCCCUUAAGAGUCCUGAAGGAACGUUGAAGACGACGACGUUGAUAGGCCGGGUGUGUAAGCGCAGCGAUGCGUUGAGCUAACCGGUACUAAUGAACCGUGAGGCUUAACCUU